Molecule: long non-coding RNA, 255 nt
Organism: Gorilla gorilla gorilla (western lowland gorilla)
Lineage: Eukaryota; Metazoa; Chordata; Mammalia; Primates; Hominidae
Exons: 3
Source: RefSeq, a predicted model, not a curated record
GGAACAAGGAAAUUUUUGGGGUUGAUGGCCGGGUUCACUAUCUUAAUGGUGGUGAUCAAUUCUUAGGUAUAUAAAUAUGUCAAUACCUAUCAAAUUGUAUACAGGCUUACAGCUGGAGAGAAAUUUGUUUAAAGAUGAAUCAUGCCUUGAGUAUCACUCACAUUUGAUUCAGAUGAGACGCUGGACUUUGGACUUUUGAGUUGGUGCUGAAAUGACUUUAGUUCACCAAGAAACGGGAAGAAAAAUCGGAGGGGA